UGGCUCCUUCACUCAUUAUAUUCCACUCC
RNAcentral lists this non-coding RNA (29 nucleotides) under Mus musculus (house mouse). Lineage: Eukaryota; Metazoa; Chordata; Mammalia; Rodentia; Muridae. The record is from RNAcentral.